GUAAUCUCUCCAAGUCCACCAGACAUUCAGACAGAAGCAAGGAAGAGAAGAACAGGAAGUCCUUCAAAUGGAAUCCACUGGCAAGGCUGAUCUUUGUGACCCACUUUUGAUAUAUGAGAGGAAGACUUUGCAUUCAAAAAAAUUCCAAUUUUCUCACAGCUGAGGCAGAGAAGGAGAAAAAGGAAUUUACCUGUGUAUGAUCCACCUGAGCUAACUGGGAAGAUGAGAGAGACCUUCGAGGCAGGUUCAGAACACAAUCCAUUUCUGGGUUUGCAACUGAGGUGUUGAGAGAUGCUACAGAAAAGGACAAAGACCGAAGAGCACGCAGUUAUAUCAGACUGGAGUGAAUCAGUGAAACAAGAUAUUAACCCACUUGAAGACCCCUGAGGCCUCCAGCCUUUCCCCUUGGAUAACUCUGAAAGGCGUCCAGUGAGUUCCAGUUUGGGCAGGGGUUUGUUUAUUCUGCUUGGUUCAAAUCAGGGCUAUGGAUCCCUCAUGGUUUUCAUGUCCCUAAAGGUUUUCCA
Aethalodelphis obliquidens (Pacific white-sided dolphin) is the source of this 524-nucleotide long non-coding RNA. RefSeq lists it as uncharacterized. The transcript is spliced from 3 exons. Lineage: Eukaryota; Metazoa; Chordata; Mammalia; Artiodactyla; Delphinidae. The record is from RefSeq and is a predicted model, not a curated record.